AUCCUGAUGAGGAGGAAUGACCUCAUGAUAGGAAGUGCGGUAUGACACUUAACAGCAGCUGUUUCACCGUAUAUCGAUCUCUUCUAUCUGCUGUUCUCAGACCCUUCAUUUCAAAUCAAAACAAACUUUGAGCUUGUUGUUGAAGGGUAGCUGAAACAGAAGUAUAGAUGCAGGCGUUUUGGGAUAAUUGGAUCAGCUGUGUGUGUGAUUUUAAAUGGGUCACUGAGGGAU
Phoenix dactylifera (date palm) is the source of this 231-nucleotide small nucleolar RNA. RefSeq annotates it as small nucleolar RNA Z112. Lineage: Eukaryota; Viridiplantae; Streptophyta; Magnoliopsida; Arecales; Arecaceae. The record is from RefSeq and is a predicted model, not a curated record.